Brassica napus (rape) is the source of this 932-nucleotide long non-coding RNA. RefSeq lists it as uncharacterized. The record is from RefSeq and is a predicted model, not a curated record. Lineage: Eukaryota; Viridiplantae; Streptophyta; Magnoliopsida; Brassicales; Brassicaceae. The transcript is spliced from 2 exons.
UUUUUCAACAAUGAUAUUAUUCAGUAGUUACAUGGAGAGUACUUCAAUUCACUAAUACAAAUGUUAAAAAUGCAAAAAAAAAAAUGAACUGAUUAAAAAAUUAGUGUGUCAACACAUUGACGAGAUUUAGUAAAAUUAUAUCUUAAACCACAUUUAAAUUCAACUAGGCAUAUUUUAUAUAUCUCAGACAAUAAAAAAACUAAUAUAAACGUCAAAUUUCAAAAUUUUAAUUAAUGUAGUAUAUACACUAAAAUUCAAUGUCUUUUAUUUUAGAAAAAAAAUAUAUCUUAAAUUAAAAAUCCAAAAAGGAAUUUGUAAAUUAAUAACUCGAUAAAUUAAUAAAAUACUGAAGUAUCAACAUUGUUAAUUUAAAGAGUUUUUACUGUACUUUAAUUCUAUUAGUCUGUUAUGACUAAAUAUCUUUAUAGAAAUAAAAGGAAAGAGUAUAUUUUAUAUUUGACUAAGAAAAUACUUCUCAAAAUGUAUGUUUUUGCUAUUAUAUAUACUCAGAAUGUUUGGAGAAAACUCAUAAAAAGUUACAGAGAAUAGCUUAUAUUGAUAUUAAAAAUGGCUAUCACAAUGAAGACUUUAAUCACAUUUGUUUUUACUAUCUUUUUCAUUGUAUCUUCUGUUCAUUGUGGUACUACAGCUACCGCUGAUACUCCGGGUUACGGUGAAAUAAAGCAGGUAAUAUGCUACGACUUCUCGAGGCCGUGUGAUACUAGAGGAGAAUUAGGUUGUGAUGACUUUUGUAUUGAUUGGGGUUUUCUUAGAGGACGCUGUGCUCCAAGAAAAUGUUGUUGUGAAAGAUAAGUAUGUGUCCCAGAUUUUUCUUUUUAAGAAGUACGUAUCCAAGAUGAAAUCACCUAAUUAAAUGUACUGGCAUUGUUUGAAAAAUAACAUCAAUAAUAUUCAUUCGUUUUAUAUAUCUA